Molecule: ribosomal RNA, 254 nt
Filed under: uncultured bacterium
Lineage: Bacteria
Description: partial 16S ribosomal RNA
Rfam family: Bacterial small subunit ribosomal RNA
Source: RNAcentral
UACGUAGGGUGCGAGCGUUAAUCGGAAUUACUGGGCGUAAAGCGUGCGUAGGCGGUUCGUUAUGUCUGCUGUGAAAGCCCCGGCUUAACCUGGGAAUGGCAGUGGAAACUGGCGGGCUUGAGUGUGGCAGAGGGGGGUGGGAAUUCCGCGUGUAGCAGUGAAAUGCGUAGAGAUGCGGAGGAACACCGAUGGCGAAGGCAGCCCCCCUGGGCUGACACUGACGCUGAGGCACGAAAGCGUGGGGAGCAAACAGG